GACGACGCUGGCGGCGUGCUUAAUACAUGCAAGUCGAGCGAGUUACUGUUUCGGAUCCCUUCGGGGUGAAAGAAGCUUUAACCUAGCGGCGGACGGGUGAGUAACGCGUGGGUAACCUACCCCAAAGUCCGGGAUAACAGCGGGAAACCGCUGCUAAUACCGGAUGCCUUUACCUUGGGGCAUCUUGAGGUAAAGAAAGGUAACGCUUUGGGAUGGGCCCGCGUCCCAUUAGCUAGUUGGUGAGGUAACGGCUCACCAAGGCGACGAUGGGUAGCCGGCCUGAGAGGGUGGACGGCCACACUGGGACUGAGACACGGCCCAGACUCCUACGGGAGGCAGCAGUAGGGAAUAUUGCGCAAUGGACGGAAGUCUGACGCAGCGACGCCGCGUGAGCGAUGAAGGUCUUCGGAUCGUAAAGCUCUGUCCUUGGGGAAGAAGGCGAAAGCUUGACGGUACCCAAGAAGAAAGCCCCCGGCUAACUACGUG
This 486-nucleotide ribosomal RNA is filed under the name uncultured bacterium. RNAcentral's name for it is "bacterial SSU rRNA". It matches the Rfam family "Bacterial small subunit ribosomal RNA", at positions 33 to 507 of the family's 1533-position model. The record is from RNAcentral.